RNA transcript from Daphnia magna, 2273 nucleotides. RefSeq lists it as uncharacterized. The record is from RefSeq and is a predicted model, not a curated record. Lineage: Eukaryota; Metazoa; Arthropoda; Branchiopoda; Diplostraca; Daphniidae. The transcript is spliced from 11 exons.
UCUGCAGCAUCCAUUGACUCUGUAGUCGGACAGCUUUCACCACCAGCGUUUGUAGUCGUAAGUUAUCUGUUGAUGUUGAAUCCUAAGUUUCUUUGUAAUACUUAUUAGUUUUCGAAGCAUGCUGCAUCACCUUGAAAAUUAGACUCUGAUAAUGAUGUGAUUCAGAAAACUGAAGCUGAAGGUUGUACUUUCAAGUUCCUGUUAUGAGUGGAUGUAAAGCUAACCUCUCUUGAAUAUCAAAUGACUAAGCUGUAAUGUGAAAUUUGCUAUGGGGGUUGAGUCGUGAAAGGACUCUGGAAUGGUGAGGCUAUGGAUGCUGGAUGUCCCAUUUGAGCAAUGGACAGUGCUCUCAGGUACAUUUCCGUCCUGUUGGUUCAUCAUUGGUUGUGUCUGUUAGAUGGCUUCCACAGGAGUUCAUGUCUGGUGGUGUUUAUUUAACAGCUGCAUUCUUUCUCAGGGUUCACUUGGCUGUGUUAAGUCUAUGGUCGUUGCCCAAUGAGUUGGUCUUCGCCAGGUUGUUGUAUUACGCCUUGUGUGGUGGUAAUGUUCGAUGGUGCUGGCCAUGUAAGGUUGUACAUUUUCUCAAGGUGUGGGUUGGUUUUGAUUUGUACCUCCGUGGCGGUGUUGUCAUGCUGCAAAUGCUUGAUGUGUUACGUAAGGUGUUUGAAGUGUUGGAUGGCAUCAGUUUUCGUUUGGUUACUUUACCCCUCAGGAGUGUUCUUGGGCUGGGGAAUUGAUGGUUGUUAGCCGGUUGGAUUGGGGCAGUUGUAGUUUACCAUUGCCCGUGAGGUAAUUAUAGCUGCAUUUUAAUGGGAACUAUAACUUGAGGCGUGGAGAUGAGGGACCACCUGUGGAUUUAUUGUUCCGGAGGUUUUGGUGACUUCAUUCGGUCUUAAAACCAGUUGACAUGGAAAGUAAAAUGUAACUGGUAUUCCGAGGUGGUUACUUCGAAGGUUUAUACCUGAAGUCUGUCGAUCCGUUGGUUAACCCUUUGGCUGGGUUCUAUGAGUUACUUUAUCAUCUAUGUCGUUUCUGCCGGUGUGACCGUUGAUGAUUCUGUCUUAAUCGCCACGCUGCCUGUUGCCUUAGUUGGUAAUUUCGUCAGUGCGACUCCAGUUCUGCUUGUUUAUCUCAUCACCAGGUAAGAUUUUUUUCUGGGGUGGUUGCUUUUGAAGUUUCAUACCUGGUGUCUAUCAACCAGGUUUUUUUCUAUCUAACUGGAUAUGAUAAGGUAAUUUAUUGGCUAUAUUUCCUAUUAUGAUAUUUCCUCAACUCGUUAAGAUAAAUAAAGUAAUGAUAGUAUAGUCAAUGUGGCUAGCAUCGGUCGUUUUCUAAACUAGUUGACAAGGAAAGAAAUGUUUCUAUCAAUAACGAUGUACAGAAGGAGUGAAAGGAAUAAUUUAUGGCGAUAAGAAAUAAAUUAACAUAUUGGGACAUUUAUACUGUAUUAAUAUAAUAUACUAAUAAAAAAUUAAAACUUUUUCAUCUCGAUUAAAAUGAAGAUAAAUAUGAUGAUUUAAAAGCCGAUUUAUUUAAGUAUCGUUGGCUAUUGCUUUUCUCUGUAUGAUAUUUACCACCCUAUUUUCUUCAUGCUCGUUAAGUACUUUAUUAACUUUACUUUGCUUUUUUUAUUUUUUUACUUUGUGUUUUACUAAAUACCUGAUAAAUAUCGGGUCGUUGGCUAUGCCUUUGAACUGGUUAAUUAAUGUAAUAUAACAGCAAAGACGGUGGAUAUGUUUCAUAUAAAACCACAGCUCGAUAUAUAAAUUUAUCUGCUUACAAACUCAACUAACAGUCUCUUCCCGUGAAACCAUCGAUGGUUUUGUCUCCGAAGGUACUUGUCUUUUGCCUGAUUUGUCCUUUUUGUCAGUGCCGUUCCAGUUCUGUUCGAUAGUCCUAUUUCUUGAUAUAUCUGUUAAUCUGUUCGCUAGUGUACUGUAGCAUAACCCUUUACAUACUUCUUUUUCUUGGACUAAUAACUUCUAUAUGGUAAUGCAUUGGUGUAUAUAUCAAUGGGUAAUUGCACUAGCUUUGCACAUAGCAUUGCUACAUUCCGGCCAUUUUCCAUUACUAACCCAGUUUUAAAUUUUCACCCAACCCAUACAAUUACCUUGCUUAUCAAACUGUUGAUAAAAAUAUUUCACAUUAAUUAUAAAUAAACUAUAGAUUAAGCCUGCUACUAAUUACUUUACUUGUCUAUCCAUCAACGAGUUUCUUAUUUGUGCAUGUUAGUCAUCACACCGUUUCACAAAUAAACCACCAUGAUUCGUUCA